This is a non-coding RNA of Papilio xuthus (Asian swallowtail), 92 nucleotides long. Lineage: Eukaryota; Metazoa; Arthropoda; Insecta; Lepidoptera; Papilionidae. The record is from Rfam.
UGUAAGUGUUGCCGUAUAGCUGGGGUUUCAAAGCGGCAUGUGCCUCCCUUUAUGCAAUGCCCUUGGAAAUCCCAAACGUGCUGGCGAUGACA